Molecule: long non-coding RNA, 602 nt
Organism: Seriola aureovittata
Lineage: Eukaryota; Metazoa; Chordata; Actinopteri; Carangiformes; Carangidae
Exons: 3
Source: RefSeq, a predicted model, not a curated record
ACCACAAACUCAGGAAGUGCUGAGUGAGGAGGAAAACUUCAUCUCUGCUCCCUGAGUUGGUCUCCACACAUUUUACAAGUUUUACAAAGCAUUUAGCAUUUACCCCCCUCAAACCCGCACACGGCCACAACCGGGGGUUGUUGCAACAUCAUUUAUUGCUGGAUGCAUCUGCAGCUGGAGACAGAGCAACACUGCCUCCCUGUGGACGCUCAGAGAACUGCACCGAGGCUGUAACAUUCAAGUUGACCAGUCACAAUAUUAAUACUAGAGAUACCUGGGCCUUUAAAAACAUGACAUACCACCUGGAGGGGUGAACACUACAAAACAUUCUGGCAGUUGGAAACUUAUAGUUUACAUGAGGACUUUGAUAUUAAGCCUUUCUUGUUGGCAUAUCUUAUUAUUAUCUAUCAAUCAUAUUAUUAUAGCCUGCGCAUUCAUUUCUAGUGCCUCUUAAACAGAUAUAUUAUAUAUAUAUGUUUUUCUUUUUUGCAACAAGUCUUAUUCCUCCAAUGAGAAACAUGCUAGAGUGAUGACACUCAUACUGCACAUGCUCAGUUAGACCCCCCCCUCCACCAGGAAAACAGACGACACACUCAACAUUA